UUUUCCACAAAUUCCCAAGAUGACUUCCUAUGCCAACCACUUGAACCACAAAAGUUGUUGAGAAUAUCUACAAUGUAUAUUGCAGGUUUGACAUCCGGAUCUCCGCUGCUGCAUGCGAAGAAUAAUGUGAGGAGAAGGGCAAACUACACUGACCCCUGCAACUUCAUCAGCAACAAAACUGGAAGCUACUUUCUUCCAAUUGUCCGAGAAAAUCAUUUUCAAAGGUUGGUGAGAUGCUUUGCAACUUUUUCUAAUAAGUGCAAAAUGUUAAAAGAAAUUUCCCUCUGAGGACUGCUUUCAUUACAUCCCACAGAUUCCGGUAAGUUGUAUUUACAUUUUCAUUUAUUUGCAGGUAUUUUUUAAUUUCUUCUUUAAUUUCUUCUGUGUCCCAUUGGUUGUUCAGGAGGUUGUUAUUUAAUUUCCAAGUGUUUAUGGAGUUUUUGGAGUUCCUUUUGUCAUUAAUUUCCAAUUUCAGACCUGCAUGUGUAAACAACGUAUUCUCACUGGUGUAAGAACCUGAAAGAGUGAAUAAAGACUAGGAGGUAUGAUAGACAUUGUGAAAUGAAAGGAAAAUGCUCAAAAGUAAAAAGCAACUGGGAUGAGGGAAAAGAAAAUAGAAAGAAGGGGAAAUUAUGUAAGUACGUAUAUAUAGGAUAGCUAACAUAGUUGUACUACUGACUUCUAUCAUUUUAUUGAAAGGAACAGUUAAUGAUUAAUUAUUUUGAUCAAUCUUGCAUGUCUAUAUUUGUUUUCCUGAGUAACCACUUUGAAGUUAUCAAUAUGUAAUACAACAACCAUUGUUAAUUCCCUGUCACCUUGUCUGUAAUUCAGUAUUGCUUGUACUAUUCUUG
RNAcentral lists this long non-coding RNA (851 nucleotides) under Chinchilla lanigera (long-tailed chinchilla). Its description in RNAcentral is "lncRNA (ENSCLAG00000025680.1)". Lineage: Eukaryota; Metazoa; Chordata; Mammalia; Rodentia; Chinchillidae. The record is from RNAcentral.